This 947-nucleotide long non-coding RNA is filed under the name Felis catus (domestic cat). RNAcentral describes it as "lncRNA (ENSFCAG00000047713.1)". Lineage: Eukaryota; Metazoa; Chordata; Mammalia; Carnivora; Felidae. The record is from RNAcentral.
CUUGCUGGUUUACUUGCAGAGAAAGUAAAGAGUACUCAGAUUAAGAAGACAGCAUUUGCUUCUACAACCUUGCCACAGCCUGACAUCAAGUUUCAGGCCAAGUUGAGGGUUUUCUUUUCUUUAUUUUUUUUAAGUUUAUUUAUUUAUUUUCAAAGAGAGAGAGAGAGAGAGCCAGUGCAAGAGCAGGAGAGGGGCAGAGAGAGAAGGAGAGAAAAUCCCAAGCAGGCUCCAUGCUGUCAGUGCAGAGCCUGAUGAGGGCUCCAUCCCCAGAACCACAAGAUCAUGACCUGAGCCAAAAUUGAGAGUCAGGCGCUUAACUUACGAAGCCACUCAGACGCCCCCAAGUUGAGGGUUUUCUAACAAAAAUAUUCUCAGUCUUUGUGGAUAACCAGAUCCAUUAGAGAAUCUGUAGUACUUAUAGUCUGUGUAAGAAUUCAAAAGCAUGGAAUGGAGACAUUUACAAGUAUGGUUGACCAUUACAGGUCCUGUGGUGUGAAAACCCACAUGAAACCAGAUGAACGUUAGGUAAAUAUUCUUUCUUAGAGGUUCAGCUGUAUAAACUAAAACUAGGAAUGAUGAAGAAGAAGAAAGGAAGAAGGAAUCCAUGUUCCUUAGUGGACACAGAAGUGAAGAGCAGCCAGCUAAAUUAACCUGGAUUGAUGAAUGAUAAUUAAAGAAUUAUCAAUUGAAGAUACAUUUUUAUGCCAUUUUUCAAGAUUAUACUGGAUGACUAUUGUGAAACACCAAAGAAAACACUCCAGGAAUUCUGAAACAAACAAACAAAAUGCGCAGAUCUGCGUUUCUGAUACUACAGCAGCCUAGAAUGUACCUUCAAUUUCAAGGACCUCAUCUGUCUUGUUCACUAUUAUGUAUCCAGCCCCUAGAACAUUCUCUAAAUCCAGAAGGCACUUAAUAAACAUUUAUUGAUCAAAUGAAUAGAAAAUAAA